GAUGAAGAACGCAGCGAAAUGCGAUAACUAAUGUGAAUUGCAGAAUUCAGUGAAUCAUCGAGUCUUUGAACGCACAUUGCGCCCCCUGGUAUUCCGGGGGGCAUGCCUGUCCGAGCGUCAUUGCUGCCCUCAAGCACGGCUUGUGUGUUGGGCUCCGUCCCCCCGGGGACGGGCCCGAAAGGCAGCGGCGGCACCGAGUCCGGUCCUCGAGCGUAUGGGGCUUUGUCACCCGCUCUGUAGGCCCGGCCGGCGCCAGCCGACAACCCAUCAUCCUUUUCAGGUUGACCUCGGAUCAGGUAGGGAUACCCGCUGAACUUAAGCAUAUCAAUAAGCGGAGG
This 338-nucleotide unclassified non-coding RNA is filed under the name soil metagenome. Its description in RNAcentral is "partial contains 5.8S ribosomal RNA, internal transcribed spacer 2, and large subunit ribosomal RNA". The stretch from base 1 to 120 matches the Rfam family "5.8S ribosomal RNA", at positions 35 to 154 of the family's 154-position model. The record is from RNAcentral.